RNAcentral lists this ribosomal RNA (608 nucleotides) under uncultured bacterium. RNAcentral's name for it is "bacterial SSU rRNA". It matches the Rfam family "Bacterial small subunit ribosomal RNA", at positions 74 to 664 of the family's 1533-position model. The record is from RNAcentral.
UUGACGUUGGAUUACCAGUGAGCGGCGGACGGGCUGAGUAACACGUGGGCAACCUGCCCUGAAGCGGGGGAUAACAUCUGGAAACAGGUGCUAAUACCGCAUAACAACGAAAACCACAUGGUUUUCGUUUCAAAGAUGGUUUCGGCUAUCACUUCAGGAUGGGCCCGCGGUGCAUUAGCUAGUUGGUAAGGUAACGGCUUACCAAGGCAAUGAUGCAUAGCCGAGUUGAGAGACUGAUCGGCCACAAUGGAACUGAGACACGGUCCAUACUCCUACGGGAGGCAGCAGUAGGGAAUCUUCCACAAUGGGCGCAAGCCUGAUGGAGCAACACCGCGUGAGUGAAGAAGGGUUUCGGCUCGUAAAGCUCUGUUGUUGGAGAAGAACGUGCGUGAGAGUAACUGUUCACGCAGUGACGGUAUCCAACCAGAAAGUCACGGCUAACUACGUGCCAGCAGCCGCGGUAAUACGUAGGUGGCAAGCGUUGUCCGGAUUUAUUGGGCGUAAAGCGAGCGCAGGCGGUUGCUUAGGUCUGAUGUGAAAGCCUUCGGCUUAACCGAAAGAAGGGCAUCGGUAAACCCGGGCAACUUGAGUGCAAAAGAGGACAGUGG